GACGAACGCUGGCGGCGUGCUUAACACAUGCAAGUCGAACGAACAGACCAGGAUUUUGUUGCGCUGUCGUGAGCCGCGGGCGGGUGAGUAACACGUGGAUCAUGUACCUAUAAGACUGAGAUAACUUCGAAAAACCGGAGCCAAUACCGGAUAAUAUAUUGAACCGCAUGGUUCAAUAGUGAGAGACGGUUGUUCUGUCACUUAUAGAGGGUUCCGCGCCGCAUUAGCUAGUUGUUAAGGUAACGGCUUACCAAGGCAACGAUGCGUAGCCGACCUGGGAGGGUGAUCGGCGACACUGGAACUGAGACACGGUCCAGACUCCUACGGGAGGGAGCAGUAGGGAAUGUGACGCAAUAGGCGAGAGCAUGACGGAGCAACGCCGCGUGAGUGAUGAAGGUGUUCGGAUCGUAAUACUCUGUUACUAGGGAAGAACAGAUGUGUAAGUAGCUGUGCAGGUCGUGACGGUACUUAAUCAAAAAGCAACGGCUAACUACGUG
This 497-nucleotide ribosomal RNA is filed under the name uncultured bacterium. RNAcentral's name for it is "partial 16S ribosomal RNA". It matches the Rfam family "Bacterial small subunit ribosomal RNA", at positions 28 to 507 of the family's 1533-position model. The record is from RNAcentral.